GCUUGUCUCAAAGAUUAAGCCAUGCACGUCUAAGUAUAAGCGAUUAUACUGUGAAACUGCGAAUGGCUCAUUAUAUCAGUUAUAGUUUAUUUGAUAGUCCCUUACUACUUGGAUAACCGUAGUAAUUCUAGAGCUAAUACAUGCAUCAACUCCCAACUGCUUGUCGGACGGGAUGUAUUUAUUAGAUGGAAACCAAUGCGGGGCAACCCGGUGUUGUGGUGAAUCAUGAUAACUUUGCGGAUCGCGUCCUCGUGUCGCGACGAAUCAUUCAAGUUUCUGCCCUAUCAGCUUUGGAUGGUAGGGUAUUGGCCUACCAUGGCUUUGACGGGUAACGGAGAAUUAGGGUUCGAUUCCGGAGAGGGAGCCUGAGAGAUGGCUACCACAUCCAAGGAAGGCAGCAGG
RNAcentral lists this ribosomal RNA (402 nucleotides) under Pseudocharaciopsis ovalis. Its description in RNAcentral is "partial small subunit ribosomal RNA". It matches the Rfam family "Eukaryotic small subunit ribosomal RNA", at positions 30 to 432 of the family's 1831-position model. The record is from RNAcentral. Lineage: Eukaryota; Eustigmatophyceae; Eustigmatales; Pseudocharaciopsidaceae.